CCUACGGGUGGCAGCAGUGGGGAAUAUUGGGCAAUGGGCGCAAGCCUGACCCAGCGACGCCGCGUGAAGGAAGAAGGCUUUCGGGUUGUAAACUUCUUUUAUGAGGGAAGAAACAAAUGACGGUACCUCAUGAAUAAGCCACGGCUAACUACGUGCCAGCAGCCGCGGUAAUACGUAGGGGGCAAGCGUUAUCCGGAUUUACUGGGUGUAAAGGGCGGGUAGGCGGGACUGUAAGUCAGGUGUGAAAAUUAUGGGCUCAACCCAUAACCUGCAGUUGAAACUGUAGUACUUGAGUGAUGGAGAGGUAAGCGGAAUUCCUUGUGUAGCGGUGAAAUGCGUAGAUAUUCGGAGGAACACCAGUGGCGAAGGCGGCCUACUGGACAUUAACUGACGCUGAGGCGCGAAAGCGUGGGGAGCAAACAGGAUUAGAUACCCCAGUAGUC
Molecule: ribosomal RNA, 443 nt
Filed under: uncultured bacterium
Lineage: Bacteria
Description: partial 16S ribosomal RNA
Rfam family: Bacterial small subunit ribosomal RNA
Source: RNAcentral